This 632-nucleotide long non-coding RNA is filed under the name Parus major (Great Tit). RNAcentral's name for it is "lncRNA (ENSPMJG00000007436.1)". Lineage: Eukaryota; Metazoa; Chordata; Aves; Passeriformes; Paridae. The record is from RNAcentral.
UGGGGCUUUUUGAAAGAAUGUUUUGAUUUAAGUGUGAGAAAUGUCCCAUUAGAUUUUACUCCAUGUUCUAGUGAUUCAAAAAUUCUUAGUGAAAUGUAAUGUAUUUUCAGACAGGUUUUGCAAAUAAAUUGGAACUAAAUAUUUUAAAGCCUUCUUUCUCUCUCCCCAGGAGCAUAGCCAGCACUCUGAGAUAUCCUGGAAGAAAGGACUGCUCUGCAAGACUGCAUCCAAGCUUCCAGCAGCAGCCCGUACAGCUCUCGCUCUGUCCCACUCCCAAACUCCAUGAGAUGGAAGUGACAAGGAUAUGAUGUUCCAGCCACCCUCUCCCCUGGCUGAGCUUGAACCAGAAGCAACUGGAUGCAGUCUGCAGCUGGGCUCUUAACUUCCAUGGAGCAAUGCAAGUCAUGAAAUCCUCCUCACAAGACAUUAUGAAAAGCAACUCUUCCAAGGUUUUAUUCUCUGCUCAUGGAUAACUGCCCACAUAUCCUCACCCUCGAAAGUGGUGCCUGUCAGUGUCAUAUUUCCAUCUGAAGCAGCUCCCAGCCCAGAUUAGCUCUCCUAAAGAUGCCACAAGGAAUGUUUGGCGUGAAAGUGGAAUUCCCCCAGCACAUUAAUGGGGAGGCCACUUCUUG